AAUCAACGCUGGCGGCGUGCCUCAGACAUGCAAGUCGAACGCGAAAGGUUCCUUCGGGAGCCGAGUAGAGUGGCGCUCGGGUGAGUAACACGUAGGUAAUUUGCCUUUGGGUGGGGAAUAACAAUCGGAAACGGUUGCUAAUACCGCAUAAUGCAGCGGCUCGACAUCGAGACAGUUGUUAAAGCGGGGGAUCCUUCGGGACCUCGCGCCUAAAGAGAAGCCUGCGGCGGAUUAGCUAGUUGGUGAGGUAAUGGCUCACCAAGGCGACGAUCCGUAACCGGCCUGAGAGGGCGGACGGUCACACUGACACUUAAAUACGGGUCAGACUCCUACGGGAGGCAGCAGUCGGGAAUUUUGGGCAAUGGGCGAAAGCCUGACCCAGCAACGCCGCGUGAAGGAUGAAAUCCCNCGGGAUGUAAACUUCGCAAGAACGGGAAGAAUAAGCGAGAGUAAAUACCUCUCGUGAUGACGGUACCGUUUGUAAGCUCCGGCUAACUCCGUGCCAGCCGCCGCAGUAAU
This 519-nucleotide ribosomal RNA is filed under the name uncultured bacterium. RNAcentral's name for it is "partial 16S ribosomal RNA". It matches the Rfam family "Bacterial small subunit ribosomal RNA", at positions 32 to 524 of the family's 1533-position model. The record is from RNAcentral.